UUUUCUUAGGGAAGAAUUCUGACGGUACCUAAGGAAUAAGCACCGGCUAACUCCGUGCCAGCAGCCGCGGUAAUACGGAGGGUGCAAGCGUUACUCGGAAUCACUGGGCGUAAAGGGCGCGUAGGCGGAUUAUCAAGUCUCUUGUGAAAUCUAAUGGCUUAACCAUUAAACUGCUUGGGAAACUGAUAGUCUAGAGUGAGGGAGAGGCAGAUGGAAUUGGUGGUGUAGGGGUAAAAUCCGUAGAUAUCACCAAGAAUACCCAUUGCGAAGGCGAUCUGCUGGAACUCAACUGACGCUAAGGCGCGAAAGCGUGGGGAGCAAACAGGAUUAGAUACCCUGGUAGUCCACGCCCUAAACGAUGUACACUAGUUGUUGGGGUGCUAGUCAUCUCAGUAAUGCAGCUAACGCAUUAAGUGUACCGCCUGGGGAGUACGGUCGCAAGAUUAAAACUCAAAGGAAUAGACGGGGACCCGCACAAGCGGUGGAGCAUGUGGUUUAAUUCGAAGAUACGCGAAGAACCUUACCUGGGCUUGAUAUCCUAAGAACCUUAUAGAGAUAUGAGGGUGCUAGCUUGCUAGAACUUAGAGACAGGUGCUGCACGGCUGUCGUCAGCUCGUGUCGUGAGAUGUUGGGUUAAGUCCCGCAACGAGCGCAACCCACGUAUUUAGUUGCUAACGGUUCGGCCGAGCACUCUAAAUAGACUGCCUUCGUAAGGAGGAGGAAGGUGUGGACGACGUCAAGUCAUCAUGGCCCUUAUGCCCAGGGCGACACACGUGCUACAAUGGCAUAUACAAUGAGACGCAAUACCGCGAGGUGGAGCAAAUCUAUAAAAUAUGUCCCAGUUCGGAUUGUUCUCUGCAACUCGAGAGCAUGAAGCCGGAAUCGCUAGUAAUCGUAGAUCAGCCAUGCUACGGUGAAUACGUUCCCGGGUCUUGUACUCACCGCCCGUCACACCAUGGGAGUUGAUUUCACUCGAAGCCGGAAUACUAAACUAGUUACCGUCCACAGUGGAAUCAGCGACUGGGGUGAAGUCGUAACAAGGUAACCGUAGGAGAACCUGCGGUUGGAUCACCUCCUUUCUA
This 1082-nucleotide ribosomal RNA is filed under the name Campylobacter jejuni. RNAcentral describes it as "bacterial SSU rRNA". It matches the Rfam family "Bacterial small subunit ribosomal RNA", at positions 434 to 1533 of the family's 1533-position model. The record is from RNAcentral. Lineage: Bacteria; Pseudomonadati; Campylobacterota; Epsilonproteobacteria; Campylobacterales; Campylobacteraceae.